Ciona intestinalis (vase tunicate) is the source of this 264-nucleotide non-coding RNA. The record is from RefSeq and is a predicted model, not a curated record. NCBI's taxonomy places the organism in Eukaryota, Metazoa, Chordata, Ascidiacea, Phlebobranchia, Cionidae.
UCACAACAAUGUUAUCUCGCUCACGAAUGAAGAUGGCUCGAGUGACAACCGCCGAUGCAGCUUUGGAUUUGCAACGUUAAAAAUGCAGACACUACGCCAUCUACUCCGCUAUAUACGAGUAUAUUGGUACGAAGCUUUUUCUGUGAACCGCUGAUAAUGUUUUGGUAUGUCGUCAUACUACAAAUGACGUCACUCGGCUGGUUUUAUGGGCAAAUAAAGAUAAAAAAAUACGGGAAACGAAAGAACUACCGGAGGAAGAAAAUG